This 840-nucleotide ribosomal RNA is filed under the name uncultured bacterium. Its description in RNAcentral is "bacterial SSU rRNA". It matches the Rfam family "Bacterial small subunit ribosomal RNA", at positions 56 to 939 of the family's 1533-position model. The record is from RNAcentral.
UGCANGUCGACGGGANUCUUCGGAUUCUAGUGGCGGACGGGUGAGUAACGCGUAAGAAUCUAACUUCAGGACGGGGACAACAGUUGGAAACGACUGCUAAUACCCGAUGUGCCGAAAGGUGAAACCUAAUUGGCCUGAAGAAGAGCUUGCGUCUGAUUAGCUAGUUGGUGGGGUAAAGGCCUACCAAGGCGACGAUCAGUAGCUGGUCUGAGAGGAUGAGCAGCCACACUGGGACUGAGACACGGCCCAGACUCCUACGGGAGGCAGCAGUGGGGAAUUUUCCGCAAUGGGCGAAAGCCUGACGGAGCAACGCCGCGUGAGGGAGGAAGGUCUUUGGAUUGUAAACCUCUUUUCUCAAGGAAGAAGUUCUGACGGUACUUGAGGAAUCAGCCUCGGCUAACUCCGUGCCAGCAGCCGCGGUAAUACGGGGGAGGCAGGCGUUAUCCGGAAUUAUUGGGCGUAAAGCGUCCGCAGGUGGUCAGCCAUGUCUGCCGUCAAAUCAGGUUGCUUAACGACCUAAAGGCGGUGGAAACUGGCAGACUAGAGAGCAGUAGGGGUAGCAGGAAUUCCCAGUGUAGCGGUGAAAUGCGUAGAGAUUGGGAAGAACAUCGGUGGCGAAAGCGUGCUACUGGGCUGUAUCUGACACUCAGGGACGAAAGCUAGGGGAGCGAAAGGGAUUAGAUACCCCUGUAGUCCUAGCCGUAAACGAUGGAUACUAGGCGUGGCUUGUAUCGACCCGAGCCGUGCCGAAGCUAACGCGUUAAGUAUCCCGCCUGGGGAGUACGCACGCAAGUGUGAAACUCAAAGGAAUUGACGGGGGCCCGCACAAGCGGNGGANUA